This 448-nucleotide ribosomal RNA is filed under the name uncultured bacterium. RNAcentral's name for it is "bacterial SSU rRNA". It matches the Rfam family "Bacterial small subunit ribosomal RNA", at positions 335 to 800 of the family's 1533-position model. The record is from RNAcentral.
ACUCCUACGGGAGGCAGCAGUGGGGAAUAUUGGACAAUGGGCGCAAGCCUGAUCCAGCAAUGCCGCGUGAGUGAUGAAGGCCUUCGGGUUGUAAAGCUCUUUCGCACGCGACGAUGAUGACGGUAGCGUGAGAAGAAGCCCGGCUAACUUCGUGCCAGCAGCCGCGGUAAUACGAAGGGGCGUAGCGUUGUUCGGAAUUACUGGGCGUAAAGGGCGCGUAGGCGGUGUGUCAAGUCAGGCGUGAAAGCCCGGCGUCACCACUGGGAACAGCGCUUGAGACUGGCACGCUCGAGUUCGGGGAGAGGAUGGUGGAAUUCCCAGUGUAGAGGUGAAAUUCGUAGAUAUUGGGAAGAACACCGAUGGCGAAGGCAGCCAUCUGGACCGACACUGACGCUGAGGCGCGAAAGCGUGGGGAGCAAACAGGAUUAGAUACCCUGGUAGGCUCUGC